This 672-nucleotide ribosomal RNA is filed under the name uncultured Vibrionaceae bacterium. RNAcentral's name for it is "bacterial SSU rRNA". It matches the Rfam family "Bacterial small subunit ribosomal RNA", at positions 1 to 671 of the family's 1533-position model. The record is from RNAcentral. Lineage: Bacteria; Pseudomonadati; Pseudomonadota; Gammaproteobacteria; Vibrionales; Vibrionaceae.
UAGAGUUUGAUCAUGGCUCAGAUUGAACGCUGGCGGCAGGCCUAACACAUGCAAGUCGAGCGGAAACGAGAAUAGCUUGCUAUUCGGCGUCGAGCGGCGGACGGGUGAGUAAUGCCUGGGGAUAUGCCCUGAUGUGGGGGAUAACUAUUGGAAACGAUAGCUAAUACCGCAUAAUCUCUUCGGAGUAAAGAGGGGGACCUUCGGGCCUCUCGCGUCAGGAUUAGCCCAGGUGGGAUUAGCUUGUUGGUGGGGUAAAGGCUCACCAAGGCAACGAUCCCUAGCUGGUCUGAGAGGAUGAUCAGCCACACUGGAACUGAGACACGGUCCAGACUCCUACGGGAGGCAGCAGUGGGGAAUAUUGCACAAUGGGGGAACCCUGAUGCAGCCAUGCCGCGUGUGUGAAGAAGGCCUUCGGGUUGUAAAGCACUUUCAGUUGUGAGGAAAGGUGUGUAGUUAAUAGCUGCAUACUGUGACGUUAACAACAGAAGAAGCACCGGCUAACUUCGUGCCAGCAGCCGCGGUAAUACGAGGGGUGCAAGCGUUAAUCGGAAUUACUGGGCGUAAAGCGUUCGUAGGCGGUUGAAUAAGCAAGAUGUGAAAGCCCAGGGCUCAACCUUGGAACUGCAUUUUGAACUGUUCGACUAGAGUACUGUAGAGGGGGGUAGAAUUUCA